AGGGGUAUAGCUCAGUUGGCAGAGCAACGCCCUUUUAAGGCGUGAGUCCAGGGUUCGAGUCCCUGUGCCCCUA
RNAcentral lists this transfer RNA (73 nucleotides) under marine sediment metagenome. RNAcentral's name for it is "tRNA-Lys". It matches the Rfam family "tRNA". Rfam says of the family: Transfer RNA (tRNA) molecules are approximately 80 nucleotides in length. Their secondary structure includes four short double-helical elements and three loops (D, anti-codon, and T loops). Further hydrogen bonds mediate the characteristic L-shaped molecular structure. tRNAs have two regions of fundamental functional importance: the anti-codon, which is responsible for specific mRNA codon recognition, and the 3' end, to which the tRNAs corresponding amino acid is attached (by aminoacyl-tRNA synthetases). tRNAs cope with the degeneracy of the genetic code in two manners: having more than one tRNA (with a specific anti-codon) for a particular amino acid; and 'wobble' base-pairing, i.e. permitting non-standard base-pairing at the 3rd anti-codon position. The record is from RNAcentral.